Molecule: ribosomal RNA, 500 nt
Filed under: uncultured bacterium
Lineage: Bacteria
Description: partial 16S ribosomal RNA
Rfam family: Bacterial small subunit ribosomal RNA
Source: RNAcentral
AUUGAACGCUGGCGGAAUGCUUUACACAUGCAAGUCGAACGGCAGCACGGACUUCGGUCUGGUGGCGAGUGGCGAACGGGUGAGUAAUGUAUCGGAACGUGCCCAGUCGUGGGGGAUAACGUAGUGAAAAUUACGCUAAUACCGCAUACGAUCUAUGGAUGAAAGCGGGGGAUCGCAAGACCUCGCGCGAUUGGAGCGGCCGAUAUCAGAUUAGGUAGUUGGUGGGGGAAAGGCCCACCAAGCCAACGAUCUGUAGCUGGGCUGAGAGGACGACCAGCCACACUGGAACUGAGACACGGUCCAGACUCCUACGGGAGGCAGCAGUGGGGAAUUUUGGGCAAUGGGCGAAAGCCUGAUCCAGCCAUUCCGCGUGCAGGAUGAAGGCCCUCGGGUUGUAAACUGCUUUUGUACAGAACGAAAAGGUUUCUACUAAUACUAGGAGCUCAUGACGGUACUGUAAGAAUAAGCACCGGCUAACUACGUGCCAGCCGCCGCGGUAA